CCAAGAGUCGUAGAGCGGUCAUCUACAGCCGACUCAUAAUCGGUCAUUAGAGUGAAAUCUAAUCGCGAGUUCGAAUCUCGCCUCUUGGA
This 89-nucleotide transfer RNA is filed under the name Caudoviricetes sp. RNAcentral describes it as "tRNA-Met". It matches the Rfam family "tRNA". From Rfam's summary of the family: Transfer RNA (tRNA) molecules are approximately 80 nucleotides in length. Their secondary structure includes four short double-helical elements and three loops (D, anti-codon, and T loops). Lineage: Duplodnaviria; Heunggongvirae; Uroviricota; Caudoviricetes. The record is from RNAcentral.